UCAGAAAUAUGACAGUGCCCUGGUUACCACAAUGCACACAUCUUGUCCAAACUACAAACAGUGAUAACUUGGCCCAGAAUGAAGUAUCGUAUCUUCCAUAAUGCCCCUCUCAUUUACCAGAUAUAUGCACGUUCCAGAAACAGUUUAUGUCCAGCUCCAUUAGAUCCAACUGUAGUAUUUUGUGCUGCAGUAGAAGAUGUUUGUCAGACUGAUGCUAAUUGCUCUGCUGAUGAAAUAUGUUGUGACGAUGCAUGCGGUAAAUACUGUCGAACACCAUUAAGCUUCGAUGAAUGGAUCCGUGAGCAAUAUCCACAAUAUUUUUAUUAAGAUGUCUAAUGAUGUGUGAUCAUACAAACUCCAGA
This is a long non-coding RNA of Patella vulgata (common limpet), 362 nucleotides long. RefSeq lists it as uncharacterized. The transcript is spliced from 3 exons. The record is from RefSeq and is a predicted model, not a curated record. NCBI's taxonomy places the organism in Eukaryota, Metazoa, Mollusca, Gastropoda, Patellidae.